AGGUUCGAUUAUGGCUCAGAUUGAACGCUGGCGGAAUGCUUUACACAUGCAAGUCGAACGGUAGAGGGGGCAACCCCUCGAGAGUGGCGAACGGGUGAGUAAUAUAUCGGAACGUGCCCAGUCGUGGGGGAUAACGUAGCGAAAGUUACGCUAAUACCGCAUACGAUCUAUGGAUGAAAGCGGGGGACCGUAAGGCCUCGCGCGAUUGGAGCGGCCGAUAUCAGAUUAGGUAGUUGGUGGGGUAAAGGCUCACCAAGCCAACGAUCUGUAGCUGGUCUGAGAGGACGACCAGCCACACUGGAACUGAGACACGGUCCAGACUCCUACGGGAGGCAGCAGUGGGGAAUUUUGGACAAUGGACGCAAGUCUGAUCCAGCCAUUCCGCGUGCAGGAUGAAGGCCCUCGGGUUGUAAACUGCUUUUGUACGGAACGAAAAGGUCUCUAUUAAUACUGGGGGCUCAUGACGGUACCGUAAGAAUAAGCACCGGCUAACUACGUGCCAGCAGCCGCGGUAAUACGUAGGGUGCAAGCGUUAAUCGGAAUUACUGGGCGUAAAGCGUGCGCAGGCGGUUAUGUAAGACAGAGGUGAAAUCCCCGG
Molecule: ribosomal RNA, 598 nt
Filed under: uncultured bacterium
Lineage: Bacteria
Description: bacterial SSU rRNA
Rfam family: Bacterial small subunit ribosomal RNA
Source: RNAcentral